AUUAGUUUUGUAUGAUAUAAUAACUCAGAAAAGCUACAGAUAUAAUCAAGCUCCUAAUCUUGAGCAUUUUGAAUAAAAUUAACAUCCCAAGCUACAUGCCAAAAAAGAUCAAAUGACCCCAGUUCCAUACUUCAAAAGGUACAAAGGAUCAAAAAAAUCAUCCCAUUCUCUUCUAAUCCGUUUCCAUAUUCCCCUCCCAGAAGAUCUGUCCCCAGUUUAAUAGUCAAAUCAUUAUGCUCCAUCCACCCUACGUUUUUCAGCAAUAAUCCUCCUCUAAAUGUCUGUGUCAUAAAUUUUGACAAGUACUAUUUACCUAUAAGAGCUUUAUUAAUCUCUCCAGACAGGUUGUUUUAUCACUCCUAAACUUACAAAUAUGGUACUUGACCUCUAUUAUACUGCAAUGAAAUCCUCUGAUUUAUCCUACAAUCUGCUAAGUAGAAAGCGAGUCUACCCUAAGCGAGUUAGUAGCUUUAUUUUCCAUCCUACUAAUCUCUGCUCAAACUUCUCUAUUAUAGAAUUGGAUUUGUCCUUGAACUUGUUUCCAAAAAUAAGGCCUAUAUAGUUUGAGUCAAAGACUGAAAUCCAACCUAACAAUUCAAAAACUCUCACCAAGAGAUUCACAUCAACUCACACUUCCUUGAAUUUUCAAUCCUAGAAACUGCUUCAAGCAAAACAAAGCAUAACUUAAGAAAAGGAUUUUUAGAUAUUCCCUAUUACAAAAUAUGUUCAUACCAUAAGAGAAGAUGAGAAAUCAAUCAUAUCUUUAUCCUUUUUCCGCCAUUAAAACAAUCCUAUUUAGUUAAUCUCUAAUAAAUUUGUAUAACACACUCAUUCUUCGACUAUUUCACCACAGAAUCAAAAUGAAGUUUUUCUUGUCCAUAAUUAAAAGAAUGAAGAAAAUGGCAACAUGGUUUCAUAUAAAAUCAACUACAAACAGAAUUUUUCGCUAAAUUUUUCCAAUUCAGGGCCAAAUGAAUUUGCUGCAUUAUGGAAUUGUCUUGGCGAAUGGCGUGUGAGUAGUCUCAUCUUGUUUCC
Molecule: unclassified non-coding RNA, 1035 nt
Filed under: Hevea brasiliensis (rubber tree)
Lineage: Eukaryota; Viridiplantae; Streptophyta; Magnoliopsida; Malpighiales; Euphorbiaceae
Source: RNAcentral